AGGAUAUCUGAUUUGAAGGGACCAACUAUGACAUUUCCUAAUCUGAAGAAUUUGAAACUUUUGCUAAGACUGGAAUUGAGGAAUUGCUUAAUAACUGGUCCCAUUCCAAACUACAUUGGAGAAAUAGAAAGUUUGAAAAGCAUAGAUCUGAGCUCCAACAUGUUAACAGGUUCAAUCCCAGAUU
This is a long non-coding RNA of Glycine soja, 184 nucleotides long. RefSeq lists it as uncharacterized. The record is from RefSeq and is a predicted model, not a curated record. The transcript has 3 exons. NCBI's taxonomy places the organism in Eukaryota, Viridiplantae, Streptophyta, Magnoliopsida, Fabales, Fabaceae.